UUGCACCACACUUUCUCCCCAUUUCAUGAAAAUUCCGACCGUUGAGCCAAUUGGGUAGACCCCCGUGCAGAGCUUCAGUAGAACGUUUAGCUAUCCGAAAUGGUAAGAGUUCCGAGUUUGCUCCCCUGUGUUUGAUAGUGUAUGCAAGUGAACAACAAGUGCAAGUUGUGAGCAAAUAAUAGUCAAACGGUUGCCGCCACCUUACUCAUGCUUCAGAACAAGAAAAAACCCCCGUC
This 236-nucleotide long non-coding RNA is filed under the name Olea europaea (common olive). RNAcentral's name for it is "long non-coding RNA (OEUR_LNC000374)". Lineage: Eukaryota; Viridiplantae; Streptophyta; Magnoliopsida; Lamiales; Oleaceae. The record is from RNAcentral.